AACGAACGCUGGCGGCAUGCCUAACACAUGCCAGUCGAACGAGACCUUCGGGUCUAGUGGCGCACGUGUGCGUAACGCGUGGGAACCUGCCCUUAGGUUCGGAAUAACUCCCUGAAAGGGGUGCUAAUACCGGAUAAUGUCUUCGGACCAAAGAUUUAUCGCCUUUGGAUGGGCCCGCGUUGGAUUAGCUAGUUGGUAGGGUAAAAGCCUACCAAGGCGACGAUCCAUAGCUGGUGUGAGAGGAUGAUCAGCCACACUGGGACUGAGACACGGCCCAGACUCCUACGGGAGGCAGCAGUGGGGAAUAGUGGACAAUGGGCGAAAGCCUGAUCCAGCAAUGCCGCGUGAGUGAUGAAGGCCUUAGGGUUGUAAAGCUCUUUUACCCGGGAGGAUAAUGACAGUACCGGGAGAAUAAGCUCCGGCUAACUCCGUG
RNAcentral lists this ribosomal RNA (433 nucleotides) under uncultured bacterium. Its description in RNAcentral is "partial 16S ribosomal RNA". It matches the Rfam family "Bacterial small subunit ribosomal RNA", at positions 29 to 507 of the family's 1533-position model. The record is from RNAcentral.